Molecule: long non-coding RNA, 1049 nt
Organism: Homo sapiens (human)
Lineage: Eukaryota; Metazoa; Chordata; Mammalia; Primates; Hominidae
Source: Ensembl
UUUAUUUUUUUGUAGAGAUAAGGUCUUAACUAUGUUGCCCAGGCUGGUCUUGAACUCCUGGGCUCAAGCAGUCCUCCUGCCUUGGCCUCCCAAAGUGCUGGGAAUACAGACAAGAGCCACUGUAUGCAGCCCCUGCCCCCCUUUUUUUUAAUCAUAGCCAUUUUGACGGAUAUAAAGUGGUAUCUUAUUGUGGUUUUCGUAAACACAUUGGGUUUUAAAUGUUCUGAAGACAGCUGAAUACACAAAUGUUAAAUCCCUCAAUGUGAGCAGUUUAUCUGUUAAUUUUGGAAAUACACUUAUUUUCUGGAAAUGACACUUGCAAGGUUAACUGCAGAAAUACCAGGAAAAUCCAGGGUAUUUAUAUCUAUAAAAAAAUUAAUAAGAUUUACUUUCACUUUAAAGUUUACAUGAAAUUAGAGAAUAGAAUUUCUUGAAUUCAUGUAUAUUCUAAUUGCUAAAUACUUGUAUUAAUCAUAAAUACAAAUUAUGAAAUGUGCUGCAGAAUGGAAUCAAACUCUUAAAAAGUAGUAGGACAGAAUAUUUGCUGAAUCAGAUUUAGAGGUUUGACUAUCCGGUAGUGCCAGUCCUGCCCAUCCCCAUCCUUUUCUCAUCACUCCUCUUUUUAAUAAAUUUGUUUUCUUUCCCCAUAUAAAUUUUAGGAUCAAUGAUAACAUCUAGUUAGAAAACCUGUUGCCAUUUUUAUGGCAUCAAGUUAAAUUUCUAAAUUAAAUUAGGGCAGUGUUGACAUCUUUAAGAUGUUGGUGAUUCCGCCCCAAAACAUGAAUGUAUUUUUCCAUUUGCUCACGUUUUGUUUUGUCGUUGUGUAAAAUUUUCUUUAUAAAGGCCUUGCAGGUUUCUUGUUAAGUUGUAGUAAUUUUUUGUUGUUGUAUCUCUUGGAUUUUCCAGAUAUAGAACUCUUUCAAAUAGUAGUAAUUUUACUUAUACCUUUCCAAUUAUCAUGUUUCUGAUUUCUUCUCUAAUUCUGUAGGGUGGAAAUUAUAAUACAAUAUUAAAGAAUAUUUGUGUGCAUAAUAAACAUAAGUAAUAUA